RNAcentral lists this long non-coding RNA (492 nucleotides) under Amborella trichopoda. RNAcentral's name for it is "long non-coding RNA (ATRI_LNC000541)". Lineage: Eukaryota; Viridiplantae; Streptophyta; Magnoliopsida; Amborellales; Amborellaceae. The record is from RNAcentral.
GUCAACAGCUGUCAACGUCUUCCGUUAUCCUUGCCGUUAGUAACAUCAUAAAUAAACGAGCAGUCUUUCGAUUAAGGAACCCCCGGAAAGUUAUGGCUUCAGUCUCUUUCUCUCUCUAACUACGUUUUCUCUCUCUUCGAUAUCUCAAAAGAAAGCUCAGUAUCUUCCUGUAAAAUAGGCCGUAUUUAUCCAACCUAAAUCUUACCCUAACCCUAGUUUUUUUGGUUGAAAUCGCCCGAUUUUGGUUAGGUCUGAAGUUUCUGGAGGUUUUCCAGUGAGUUUUGGUGGAAAUUUUUUGCAGCGAGGAUGAAGCUUACGGUGAAGACAUUGAAAGGGAACCAUUUUGAAAUUAGGGUUCAGGCAAAUGAUACGGUGAGUUAAGGCUUCUUCGUUUGUUAUUUGGUGUAAUCUGGGAGGAUUCUGAGAUUAAUGGCGAUUAGUCUCUCUCUCCCCUCGCGCUCUCUGAUUUCUGUGGAUCAUUACUUUGAAGCA